CCUACGGGAGGCACCAGUGGGGAAUUUUCCGCAAUGGGCGAAAGCCUGACGGAGCAAUGCCGCGUGGAGGUAGAAGGCCCACGGGUCGUGGACUUCUUUUCCCGGAGAAGAAGCAAUGACGGUAUCUGGGGAAUAAGCCCCGGCUAACUUCGUGCCAGCAGCCGCGGUAAUACGAAGGGGGCUAGCGUUGCUCGGAAUGACUGGGCGUAAAGGGCGCGUAGGCGGUUUAUGCAGUCAGAUGUGAAAUCCCCGGGCUUAACCUGGGAACUGCAUUUGAGACGCAUAGACUAGAGGUCGAGAGAGGGUUGUGGAAUUCCCAGUGUAGGGGUGAAAUUCGUAGAUAUUGAGAAGAACACCGGUGGCGAAGGCGGCAACCUGGCUCGAUACUGACGCUGAGGCGCGAAAGCGUGGGGAGCAAACAGGAUUAGAUACCCGCGUAGUC
RNAcentral lists this ribosomal RNA (442 nucleotides) under uncultured bacterium. RNAcentral describes it as "bacterial SSU rRNA". It matches the Rfam family "Bacterial small subunit ribosomal RNA", at positions 338 to 795 of the family's 1533-position model. The record is from RNAcentral.